GCCGGGGUAGCUCAGUGGUAGAGCAGAGGCCUGAAAAGCCUUGUGUCGGUGGUUCAAUUCUGCCUCCCGGCACCA
This 75-nucleotide transfer RNA is filed under the name candidate division SR1 bacterium. Its description in RNAcentral is "tRNA-Phe". It matches the Rfam family "tRNA". Rfam says of the family: Transfer RNA (tRNA) molecules are approximately 80 nucleotides in length. Their secondary structure includes four short double-helical elements and three loops (D, anti-codon, and T loops). Further hydrogen bonds mediate the characteristic L-shaped molecular structure. tRNAs have two regions of fundamental functional importance: the anti-codon, which is responsible for specific mRNA codon recognition, and the 3' end, to which the tRNAs corresponding amino acid is attached (by aminoacyl-tRNA synthetases). tRNAs cope with the degeneracy of the genetic code in two manners: having more than one tRNA (with a specific anti-codon) for a particular amino acid; and 'wobble' base-pairing, i.e. permitting non-standard base-pairing at the 3rd anti-codon position. The record is from RNAcentral. Lineage: Bacteria; Candidatus Absconditibacteriota.